Molecule: long non-coding RNA, 207 nt
Filed under: Elaeis guineensis (African oil palm)
Lineage: Eukaryota; Viridiplantae; Streptophyta; Magnoliopsida; Arecales; Arecaceae
Description: long non-coding RNA (EGUI_LNC059992)
Source: RNAcentral
CCAAGGUAUGAAGAUUAGAUCUUCUUUAUUUAUUUAUUUUAUUUUAUUUUUAUAUCUAAAUCUUAUGUUACAUAUGUAGAUCUUGUUUAUGAUUUUAAGAUAUGUCUUAUGCAUGCUUAGAUUAAAUUAGAUUUAAUCUGAAUUUUUAAUUUUUAUUAUGUACUUAUUUUAAAAUUUUUGCAUACAUGAAAUCAUAAAAUUCUAACA